UUAAAAAAAAAAAAAAAAGAAAAAGCCGGAAUCCAUUGCGAUACUAAGUAUGAUGAUGGUCCUUUUCAUCAACCUGAGCGCAACCAGGAACCAUCUUCAAUCUUAAACGAAAGGCUAACGAGGACUAGGGCUUGAAAUGGAAGUGUGCUCCAGAUGUAACGUUAACCCUCUUUGAAAUUCUACAUAAGGAUAUGCCAUGGGUUGCUCAACAUCCUCUGUUCGCCAUCUACAAUUAAUAAGUUAAUUAUGAGGAUUAAUCAAAUUCUUUUGUAUAGAUAAAACAACUAAAGCAAAACCCACCUGAAAUUUUGUACAAGAUGGUGGAGGAAAAAUGCAACCUCAACCUUAGCUAGUUCAGAUCCAGGGCAGCAUCUAGAUCCUCCACCAAAAGGUGUAAAUUUCUUGCAUGUUUGAUCUUGACUCUGCAUUGCAUGUGCAAAGUGAACAACAUAGCCAUAAUUAAAACAUGGCAAUUAGGCCUACAUCUACACCUUUUCUGCUCAAUUAAUAUGCAAUUUUCUUGAAAACCUCUAGUGUAGUGAGCAUUUGAGCUACAUGCAACUGUGCAUAGCAACUAUAGAUGAUGAAACGAAACCAAUAGAAAGCAGUUAGCUUGUCCAAAUCAAAUAGGUCCACUCCAAAUGGUACAAGACAUUGUAAUUGUGAAAAUCAAAAGGAUGGUCCAAUUGUAGGGCAGGUCUUGCUAUUAGAUAUUCUUGUGGUUGAUGUAAUAAUUUAAUUAUUACCUCCCAUCUCCAAGGAUAAAACUGGAGGGCACUUGCAUGCAUAGAUGAAUCUAAAUGAACUGCAGUGAAAACAGGCAGAACCUUCCAACCAGAAGGAAUUAGGUAGCCUCUAAAUUUGACAUCUUUCAGAGCCUUUCGGUGCACAAAUUUUACAAUGUUGCCAUAUCUGAGUGCUUCAUUGAUGACAUUUUGAGUGAAUUCCAUCUUUUUAUAAUCUUCCCAGUUCAAAAACUCAUCAUCUUUUCCCUUGAUGCUUCUUAUUGCUUGAUGCUCCAGCUUUAGCUGCUCAAAUGCUGUUGGUGACUGACCUAGAAAAUGCACAGCCAUAGCCAUCAAGAGUGAGGUGGUUUCAUAUCCACCCAAAAGAGAGUCUAAAACAAAACUAACUUUUUCAUCUUCAGAUAAGGUAUCAACACCAAGAAGUAUCUCAAGGAAAUCACUAGUCCUUUUUCUAGAACUACUAGCAUUUCUUCUUCUUUCCUCUAUAAUUGCUUUGACAGUAGAUGAUAUCCUGCUUCUAGCCUGAACAGCUCUGGCAUAUGGAGUUCCUGGAAUAUAGACAGGGAGAGAGAUUAGUCCUCUCAUAAAAGUGAGAAAAUCUUCAAGAAUUUUUGUAGUCUCUGGCUCCUCUGGUGUCAAGCCUAGCACUUGCUUUACUAUUACAUUGAAUGUGAACUUUCUGGCCUCCUCGCAGAAAAUGACUUGCCGUUUAUCCUUCCAGGAGUUAAGUAUCUGAAUGGCAGUUCUCUCUAUGUCAUUAAGGAACUCAGGCUUUGAUUUGGUAAUAGUGACGAGAGAAAGAGCCACAUUUCUGAGUCUCUUGUGAGUAUCACCAACAGCUACAAGCAUAGAGACAUUUCCAAGAAUGCCAUGGAUAGGCUUUGGAUAACUGCACUGGAACAACUUCCCUUCAUUUUGAAGAAUGAAGUAGUUCAGCUCUUGGUCACAAGACACCACUGUUGGAGAGAAGAACAAAUGGGACUUGAACACUUUCCCAUACCUAGAGCAAUGGUCUUGAAGAAAUGCCCCAAGAGAAUUCGAAGGAUGAGGCUGCAAAAAACCAAGUGUUUCGCCUAGUAUUGGCCAUCCAAAAGACCCUUUGGGGACAUGGCCAUCCUUCAAGAACAUGGGCAAGAAAUGAUUCAAGAUGAGACCCAAUAAAGCACCAAUAAGACCAACCAAAACACCAAGCCAAAACCCACUAGCCAUGGACAAAAGGAUGAAGGUCAUUAUCUUGUAGUAAUUUCUUUCAAAAUUCCGUAGAAAGUAGUAGAUAGAAGAAAAGCUGAGAAAACGAGAGCUUUACAGGAAAAAAUUUGGCCUUGAAUUUCUAUAUAUAGAGCUGAGAAGGAAA
RNAcentral lists this unclassified non-coding RNA (2100 nucleotides) under Hevea brasiliensis (rubber tree). Lineage: Eukaryota; Viridiplantae; Streptophyta; Magnoliopsida; Malpighiales; Euphorbiaceae. The record is from RNAcentral.